This 478-nucleotide ribosomal RNA is filed under the name uncultured bacterium. Its description in RNAcentral is "partial 16S ribosomal RNA". It matches the Rfam family "Bacterial small subunit ribosomal RNA", at positions 28 to 523 of the family's 1533-position model. The record is from RNAcentral.
GACGAACGCUGGCGGCGUGCUUAACACAUGCAAGUCGAGCGAUGAAGUUCCUUCGGGAACGGAUUAGCGGCGGACGGGUGAGUAACACGUGGGUAACCUGCCUCAUAGAGGGGAAUAGCCUUUCGAAAGGAAGAUUAAUACCGCAUAAGAUUGUAGUAUCGCAUGAUACAGCAAUUAAGGGAGUAAUCCGCUAUGAGAUGGACCCGCGUCGCAUUGGCUAGUUGGUGAGGUAACGGCUCACCAAGGCGACGAUGCGUAGCCGACCUGAGAGGGUGAUCGGCCACAUUGGGACUGAGACACGGCCCAGACUCCUACGGGAGGCAGCAGUGGGGAAUAUUGCACAAUGGGGGAAACCCUGAUGCAGCAACGCCGCGUGAGUGAUGACGGUCUUCGGAUUGUAAAGCUCUGUCUUCAGGGACGAUAAUGACGGUACCUGAGGAGGAAGCCACGGCUAACUACGUGCCAGCAGCCGCGGUAA